RNAcentral lists this transfer RNA (39 nucleotides) under Lemurophoenix halleuxii. RNAcentral describes it as "partial transfer RNA-Phe". The record is from RNAcentral. Lineage: Eukaryota; Viridiplantae; Streptophyta; Magnoliopsida; Arecales; Arecaceae.
CACGGGAAAUGGUCGGGAUAGCUCAGUUGGUAGAGCAUA